AGUGAACGCUGGCGGUAGGCCUAACACAUGCAAGUCGAACGGCAGCACAGUAAGAGCUUGCUCUUACGGGUGGCGAGAGGCGGACGGGUGAGGAAUACAUCGGAAUCUACUUUUUCGUGGGGGAUAACGUAGGGAAACUUACGCUCAUACCGCAUACCACCUACGGGUGAAAGCAGGGGAUCUUCGGACCUUGCGCGAUUGAAUGAGCCGAUGGCGGAUUAGCUAGUUGGCGGGGUAAAGGCCCACCAAGGCGACGGUCCGUAGCUGGUCUGAGAGGAUGAUCAGCCACACUGGAACUGAGACACGGUCCAGACUCCUACGGGAGGCAGCAGUGGGGAAUAUUGGACAAUGGGCGCAAGCCUGAUCCAGCCAUACCGCGUGGGUGAAGAAGGCCUUCGGGUUGUAAAGCCCUUUUGUUGGGAAAGAAAAGCAUCAGGUUAAUACCCCGCUGUUCUGACGGUACCCAAAGAAUAAGCACCGGCUAACUUCGUG
RNAcentral lists this ribosomal RNA (492 nucleotides) under uncultured bacterium. RNAcentral's name for it is "partial 16S ribosomal RNA". It matches the Rfam family "Bacterial small subunit ribosomal RNA", at positions 29 to 507 of the family's 1533-position model. The record is from RNAcentral.